UACGAGGGGGGCUAGCGUUGUUCGGAAUCACUGGGCGUGAAGGGCGCGUAGGCGGCCGAUCAAGUCGGGGGUGAAAGCCUGUGGCUUAACCACAGAAUGGCCUUCGAUACUGUUUGGCUUGAGACCGGAAGAGGUUAGUGGAACUGCGAGUGUAGAGGUGAAAUUCGUAGAUAUUCGCAAGAACACCAGUGGCGAAGGCGGCUGACUGGUCCGGUUCUGACGCUGAGGCGCGAAAGCGUGGGGAGCAAACAGG
Molecule: ribosomal RNA, 253 nt
Filed under: uncultured bacterium
Lineage: Bacteria
Description: partial 16S ribosomal RNA
Rfam family: Bacterial small subunit ribosomal RNA
Source: RNAcentral